UUCUAUUAGUUAUAAUUAAUAGUAAUAUCUGCUCAAUGAUAUUAAAUAGCCGCAGAUUAUCUGUGCUAAGGUAGCAUAAUCAUUCGUUUUUUAAUUGAAAACCAGAACAAAAGAUCAAACAUUUUAAUAAAUUUCUUAAAUUUUAAAUUUUUAAACUUAUCAUAAAUGUAAAAAGACUUUUAUAAAAAAGAAAGACGACAAGACCCUAUCGAACUUAACUUUAGUUAAACUGGGGCAGUGAAUUAAAAAAUAUUUUAAUUAAUAUUAAAUAUUAAAAACCUAAUAUAAUUAAAUAAAUCAAGUUACCGUAGGGAUAACAGCGUAAUAUUUAUUUUAAGUUCUUAUUUAAAUAAAUGAUUGCGACCUCGAUGUUGAAUAAUUACCUACAUAAAUAUGCAAAAAUAAUGAAAGGAAGUCUGUUCGACUUAUAAAUAAUUACA
This 440-nucleotide ribosomal RNA is filed under the name Micaria sp. NP17. RNAcentral's name for it is "partial 16S ribosomal RNA". The record is from RNAcentral. Lineage: Eukaryota; Metazoa; Arthropoda; Arachnida; Araneae; Gnaphosidae.